This 239-nucleotide ribosomal RNA is filed under the name uncultured Desulfomicrobium sp. RNAcentral describes it as "partial 16S ribosomal RNA". It matches the Rfam family "Bacterial small subunit ribosomal RNA", at positions 1142 to 1382 of the family's 1533-position model. The record is from RNAcentral. Lineage: Bacteria; Pseudomonadati; Thermodesulfobacteriota; Desulfovibrionia; Desulfovibrionales; Desulfomicrobiaceae.
GUGGAGACUGCCCGGGUUAACCGGGAGGAAGUGGGAUGACGUCAAGUCAUCAUGGCCCUUACGCCUAGGGCUACACACGUACUACAAUGGUGGGUACAAAGGGCAGCGAAACCGCGAGGUCGAGCGAAUCUCAAAAAACCCAUCAUAGUCCGGAUUGCAGUCUGCAACUCGACUGCAUGAAGUUGGAAUCGCUAGUAAUCCCGGAUCAGCAUGCCGGGGUGAAUACGUUCCCGGGCCUU